UACGGGGGGAGCAAGCGUUGUUCGGAAUUACUGGGCGUAAAGCGUGCGCAGGCGGUUUCUUAAGUCAGAUGUGAAAUCCCCGGGCUCAACCUGGGAACUGCAUUUGUGACUGCAAGGCUAGAGUACGGUAGAGGGGGAUGGAAUUCCGCGUGUAGCAGUGAAAUGCGUAGAUAUGCGGAGGAACACCGAUGGCGAAGGCAAUCCCCUGGACCUGUACUGACGCUCAUGCACGAAAGCGUGGGGAGCAAACAGG
RNAcentral lists this ribosomal RNA (253 nucleotides) under uncultured bacterium. RNAcentral's name for it is "partial 16S ribosomal RNA". It matches the Rfam family "Bacterial small subunit ribosomal RNA", at positions 524 to 776 of the family's 1533-position model. The record is from RNAcentral.